CAUAUAUUUGUAUAGUCAAGUACAUACGCAUAUUUAUUAUAAUUAUAUAUAAUUACAUAGACAUAUAUUUAUUGUACUAAUGUGUAACGUAAUAAAAAAAAAAAAGCUACGGAAUCCACUAAGCUGUGCGAGUAGGUUAACGAAACCUAAGUCCAAUUACCUACUCGUUUGUAGGAGAAAGCCUAACUUUUUUCCUUUAUGCACAUCGGCGUGUGACUGACGUAAUUAUGAGUCAGUAAAUUCGAGCGUAACGUCGACGAAAAUGAAACUUUCGCACGGCCAUUGACAGGACGUGGGUCUGCACGUAGCAACGUAUGCGAGAGGAGUUUUGAUAAAGCUGUACAAAGACAGAGAACAGGAUACUGCGGUGCGAUGCAUAAUGUAAGCAAUUACAUUGUGUAUGCGAACAAUCGAGGAAUCUAUAGAUCUCAUUUACGUUCGUCGAUCCAAAAACGAUCAAACCACAUCCACCAUGAUUCGUGUUACAAGUAAAGCCACAACGAUUCUACGGCACGAAACAAAACGAAAAUCAAGAAAUAAGAAAAUUGCACAGAGGGCUUCAUUUCGUAGGAAAUCGAGUUUGAAAAUCUCGUCGAGUACAAUAUCCUGGAACGAACGUAAUUAGAACUUUCUUUUCACAGAUGUGAACAUUUCUAUGCGGUUUUAUAGUCACCAGACGCACUGUAGAAUCUUCGUUGCAGUUUGAUUGUUUUUCAAUCUACGAAUAUAAAUCAGAUCUAUAGAUCCUUCGUUUGCAUAUCGCGCAAGUUUGUUAUUCCUGCCUUUCUUUUUAUUCUCCGACUUCCACGAAUUACUUUAUCGUAUAUACCAGCGCCGAAUGCAUAUUUUGUCUCGCUUCUCUGGUCUCUUUAAAAAACAUUCCUAAUCGCAUGUUUCUUUUUUACGUUUCCCGUGUCGACAGUACAGCUGGUAGGCCACAUAUUUCGGCGCGGCACGUGCCAAAAAUAGACAUCGGUAUCCCUUGUGUCGAAUACGACGUAGGGGGUGCAACGACAUUUAAAACGUUCUGCAUCAACCGGAGAAAACACCCUCAGUUAGUUGCAAACAGCUCGUCGACGCGGCUCGUGUUCUUUCCCGGCUUGUUACAAUAGUUGGCUGUUAAGUACGCGCACAGUACAUCUGUCGAUCAAACGACAAUCUCAGUUUCGAGCGUGUAACGGAUCAUCGAGUUGAUUUAUCCUCUUCGUUGUAAUGAUGCCAAUUAAUCGCCAUUUAACCAAUUAGGGUGAUUGAACGAAGAGUCUGGGUGAACACGAGACGGUUUAACGAACCGAUAAAUCGCGGCCUCCUACGUGCAUUUUGCAACAACUACGACCCAGGCAGGUGGAAACAAAGAUCGUGAAACCAGCGUUAAUCGGUAGAUAGAUCGGCAACGAGACGAUAUUAUGGGUAGAAACGGGACGGGUCCGGUGAUCCGGAUGUCUUCUACGGGCACGCACGCUGCUGGGGGCGUAGAAUGUUGUUAUUGCAGAUGUUGCACGUGUAUACACGUGGAAUUUCUAAAAACUCUACCCGGUCUUCUAAAACUGUGCGAGACGAUUAUCAGCGGACUGAUACAAAGCUUGUUAAUUAAUUACGGUUUAAAAUACAGUACAACGAUCGGUUCAGCUUUCGAAGGAUCUUUAACUACGUCUUCCGCCUGUUUCUUAACAUCAGCGGUAUUACUCGCCUGCUACAUCGUGUCCGAAAAAUCCUACAGACUGAUUCGAUCAUCUCUAUUUGAAUUGAUGUUCAAUGCAUUAGCAUCCUUCCUGUAUUUAAGCUCGGCUUCCUAUUUGGCAUUUUCCACGAAGCUAUUUCUCCUUCCAGAAUAUUACAUAAGGCCAGGGUUCGAUGUUUAUCCUGCAAUGUCAGCUGCUUACAUUAUGAGUGGUUUUGUCGGAAUACUGCACGGAACGGAUGCAUAUUUCUCUUACAAGCAUUAUAAGAGCGGAAGAUGAAUCGGAAGGGGAGUGAAAUGUAUAAAAACAUCGCACGAUUCCUGACCGAACCAAGAUCCAAAUACAGCGUACAAUGUACAAGUUACAGAAACUAUAUCUACGUCAACGAUCAAUCGAGAAAGACCUUUAUUUAAGUACUUAUGUUAAAUUAAUACGCAUAGCAUUCCAAAAUUAUGUAACGAACGAAAGUAUCAUAAAAAUAUAGAAAACGAACGUCGUAUUUAUUUAAAUCCUCCUCAUUUUUAAUCCUUUGUAAAUAACGUCAAAGAUAAAGACUAUCAAUUUCAAUAAUGCGACAUAAUUCCUCAAGAAUGAGUCAAAUUACAGGAAUUUCUCAAGCUUUUUUUCCGUGCAUACGUCACUUUUUUUCAUCCACGUGCAUUGCUAUAGAAAGUCUAGAAUUUGGUCAAAAUUUUCAAAUUCCAAUUUCGAUUUUUACUAACUCUUCGCGAUAAAAGCUUGGAAAACGCUAGCUGCGUGGAUAUUCUUUUUCGCGUUACCUGAACACAAAAGAACAACCAAAUAUUAAUGUCUGAAUAUUUCUAUGAUGUUUUGUGCACUCCUUUGCGCUACAUAGGAAAGUUCACAUCAGAUGUUGAAUAUUUGAUGCGGUGUAUGCGAGUUGUAUAGAAAAUGUACAUACAAAUUGUGGAAUCUGAUAUGCUUAAUUUACAACUUUUUGGUUAUUAGAUACCGAAAUGGAUUAUCGGUUUGCGAGAUACAUAGAAUGACAUAAAAUGUGAGAUGUGAUGGAAUGUGCGGAUGUGGGAUGUGGGACACGAGGAUUUAUUCUAUAUCUUCCAUUCAUUUUUCACACGAAGAAUCGUCUCUCUUUCGGCUGUAUUACGAUUUUGGGAACAGCCUGUAUAAACGUGGAAAACUGUCCAGGGCGCACAUAAUACACAAAAAUAUAUAAAAUCCGGAAAGCAAACUUUUUAUUAUAAUAUUUAGAGGACGAGACGAAUCUCUGCGUAAUUUUCAUUUCUUAAGUUAAAUUCAUGAAAAUGUGAAUUUGUAUAAAAAUUCGUUAUCUACUUGUUAAAGUAGUACGUCAAGUACAUGUCAUACCCAAGUCA
Bombus pyrosoma is the source of this 3037-nucleotide RNA transcript. RefSeq lists it as uncharacterized. NCBI's taxonomy places the organism in Eukaryota, Metazoa, Arthropoda, Insecta, Hymenoptera, Apidae. The record is from RefSeq and is a predicted model, not a curated record. The transcript is spliced from 5 exons.